AGAUCAGGGAGCAGGGGCGGCUCUGGACACCUGACCUGGAUGAGGACCAGUGUCUGGCCUCCUUUGAUUUCUGCUGCUGACUUAUAGAUGCAGACUUCCAGCCAACUCUGGCUCCAGUGUUUUACUUCAUCAUUUCUCAUGAAUCUAAAACAUUCACUGAGCUCCUACUAUGCACCAGGCACUGUUCUUGGCACUUGUCAGAAGGAGCAGGGAAAUUCGUCAAAAUGAAAAAUGAAAAUCAAACCAAACUGGCACUCAAGAAGGUUAUAACUCAAUGAUAUUUUAAAUGGCUCUUUGCCAUAGUACUUGGUGGUCUCCUAACAGGGAUUUGACAUUCUGUUGAACAUGUAUAGUCCUUAUUCAUACAGUCUGUGCCAUUUCACAUCUCCAGUUCCAUUUGAAGCACUAGCUUCGAGGCAAGGACUACUUUAUGCCCAUUCAUCAUUGUAUGUAUUCACUCCUUCUGCUCACUCUGCUUUCAUAUUCCUCUCAUCCAAGUUCUUAGUGCUAAAAAAAUACCCAGGCGCUGUACCCAUAGAAAACAAUUGCAAACACUCAAAUAAAUUAGGAGAAGAUUUUCCCAACCCUGACAGCCAGGUAGUUCAUAACCAUUUACUUAUUGAUCUAACAAAUAUUUAUUGAGUGCCAACUAUAUGCUAGAUACAAUGCUAGCAUUUAUUGUACUAGAUCCUGGGAAACUGAUUAUACAUAAGAGAGGGAAUAUUCAUGGUUUCGUAGAGUUUAGAUUCCAUUGGGACAAGAUAAUAAUCAAGAAACAUGCAGCUUCUAGUACUGCCAAGUGACAUUGAGAACAUAACACAGGUUAAUCAUGAUGGACAGUGGUAAGAACAAGGACCAACAUUCAUAAAUUCUCAUGUAAGGACUCCAAAAGGUGACAUUUUAUUUGGGACCUGAAAAAUCAAAAGAAUAACGUUAGUAAAGUACCUGGGGGAGAUUCCAGAUAGAGCAAGUGAGAAAGCCUUGAUGUGAGAACAAGUAUGGUAUAUUGCUUGUAUGCAGGAAAAAGAAGAAGGCACGUGUACAGUGAGCAAGAUGGGGAGUGUGUGAGAUGAGGACAGAGCAUAGGCAGAGCUUUGCAGUCAGGAUGAGGAGUUUGGAAUUUAUUCUGGGUAUAACUGGAAACCAUCGGAGGGCUUUGAUCAAGGGCGUGAGCUGAGCUCCUCCAUAGACAUUUUAAGGGACUGCUGUGUAAAGAAUGAAUAAAGGGGAAUUCUAGAAGUAGAAUCAGAGAAACUGGUUAGUAGCAGCAACAGCAGUCCAAGUGAGGGAGAGCAUAUGGCUUGGUCUAGGGUGAUUUCAGUAAACAGAAAGGUGGGCACGCUUGUGUUGUACAUUUGGAAGUAGAACCAAUAGAAACAGAUGAUGAUUACACAUGGGGUGCGGGGAAUAGUAAAGAAUUAAAAAUGACUUCUAAAUUGUUAGUUUGAGCAACUGGAUCGAUGGUGGUACCAUUUAUUGCAAUGUAGAAGACACAGGAGGGAACAGCUUUGGUGGUGGUAUGAGGUAGAAAUUAGGAGCUCUAUUUUGAAAAUGUUAAGUUUGAAGACCUAUGAGAGACUCAAGUUUAUAGUGUAUGUCAAGUAGGCAAUUAUAUUUACUAAUGUGGAAUACAGGGGGCAAGUCAGAGCUGGGAUGCAAUGUCAAGUUAUGAAGGAAGAUGAUAUUAAUUACUAGAUUUACACUGCACUCCUUAAGUAUAAUCAAAAUUGCUCUUGAAAUUCUCUCUGGAAGAUGCCUUGCUUGAGACUGACAUACCACCUUUUACUAAGUCCAGCACAGCUGGAGUUUUCUCCUAUGCUGGAGAAUUUACUGUUUUUAGCUAAAAUUAUACCUCUAUCCACCUUGUGGCUCAAACAACCAAUCUAAGAAUAGUUGUCUCUAUAAGAUGUUUACAGAAAUGUUCAGAUUGAAGGAAUGGAAGUUUUUAUUUCCUAUUCCAUUUAUUUUGGGCAUAAACAAGCAAGUGUGGUAGCCAGCCUCCAAUAUGGCCCCAAUGAUCCCCACUUCCAGGUGUUCACACCAUUGUGUAGUCCCUUCCUACACUGUACCAGGGUUGGUCUGUGUGACCAAAUAGAAUAGGGUAGAACUGACGGCAUAUCACUCCCAAGAUGAGGUUAUAAAAGACACCAGCUUCCAUACAGAGCUCUCUCUCAGAUAACCAACCUUGUCAACCAACCUUGGAUCUCAUCUUGCUCCAGGAGCAGCCAUCUGGCUUCUUUUGAGGACACUCAGGUGGCGGCCCUGUGGACAGACCCAAGUGAAGAGGAACUGAGACUUCCAGCCAAAGACCAAUGAGAAAUUGAGGAUUUCAACCAAUAACCAUUUGCAUGAGCCUACCUGGAAGUCACUCCUCCAGCCCUUUCAAGGCUUUAUAUGAUGCAGACCUGGCCAACAGCCUGACAGCAACCUCAUGAGCCAGAAGGACCCGCUAAGCCACUCCCAGGUUUCUGACCCUUAGAAGUUGUGUAAGAGAAAUGUCUGUUGUCUUAAACCAUGGAGUUUUGGAAUAAUUUGUUAUGAGCAAUGUGUAACUGCUACAGCAAGGGAGUGUGCCUGUCUAUACAGGUUAUCUCUGGCUCUGUCUUCGACUUGGUUUCUCUCCAUCCCAUGGGCCACGUUUCCGCUUGUGUCACUGCUCCACUAUAACACUGCCUCCCUCCACAGCCAUCUUUUUAAAUCUGAGAAAAGGCAAACAUUUCACUUGGCUUCAGCUGAAGGACACGCACAGUCAGUUAGAUAGUAAAUCGCUGACCAUCUUCCCUCACCUGGCUCAAUGUCUUAGCUGCUUUUGUAUCAUGUUGAUAAAAGAGAGAGUGAUAAAUAAAUUCUCAAAUUAUCUUCACUUAUAA
Molecule: long non-coding RNA, 2870 nt
Organism: Equus caballus (horse)
Lineage: Eukaryota; Metazoa; Chordata; Mammalia; Perissodactyla; Equidae
Source: Ensembl